RNAcentral lists this ribosomal RNA (442 nucleotides) under uncultured bacterium. RNAcentral describes it as "bacterial SSU rRNA". It matches the Rfam family "Bacterial small subunit ribosomal RNA", at positions 354 to 796 of the family's 1533-position model. The record is from RNAcentral.
GUGGGGAAUCUUGCGCAAUGGGCGAAAGCCUGACGCAGCAACGCCGCGUGGGGGAUGACGGCCUUCGGGUUGUAAACCCCUUUCGGUCCCGACGAAGGCUCCUGUUGUCAGGGGUUGACGGUAGGGUCAGAAGAAGCACCGGCUAACUACGUGCCAGCAGCCGCGGUAAUACGUAGGGUGCGAGCGUUGUCCGGAGUUACUGGGCGUAAAGAGCUCGUAGGCGGUUUGUCGCGUCGGCCGUGAAAUCCUGUUGCUCAACGGCAGGCUUGCGGUCGAUACGGGCAGACUUGAGUUCGGCAGGGGAGACUGGAAUUCCUGGUGUAGCGGUGAAAUGCGCAGAUAUCAGGAGGAACACCGGUGGCGAAGGCGGGUCUCUGGGCCGAUACUGACGCUGAGGAGCGAAAGCGUGGGGAGCGAACAGGAUUAGAAACCCUUGUAGUCC